AGAUUGAACGCUGGCGGCAGGCCUAACACAUGCAAGUCGAGCGGCAGCACGGGUACUUGUAUCUGGUGGCGAGCGGCGGACGGGUGAGUAAUGCCUAGGAAUCUGCCUGGUAGUGGGGGAUAACGCUCGGAAACGGACGCUAAUACCGCAUACGUCCUACGGGAGAAAGCAGGGGACCUUCGGGCCUUGCGCUAUCAGAUGAGCCUAGGUCGGAUUAGCUAGUUGGUGGGGUAAUGGCUCACCAAGGCGACGAUCCGUAACUGGUCUGAGAGGAUGAUCAGUCACACUGGAACUGAGACACGGUCCAGACUCCUACGGGAGCAGCAGUGGGAAUAUUGGACAAGUGGACGAAGCCUGAUCCAGCCAUGCCGCGUGUGUGAAGAAGGUCUUCGAUUGUAAAGCAACUUUAAGUUGGGAAGGAAGGCAGUUACCUAAUACGUAUUCUGUUUUGACGUUACCGACAGAAUAAGCGACG
Molecule: ribosomal RNA, 475 nt
Filed under: uncultured soil bacterium
Lineage: Bacteria
Description: bacterial SSU rRNA
Rfam family: Bacterial small subunit ribosomal RNA
Source: RNAcentral